Molecule: non-coding RNA, 203 nt
Filed under: Planctomycetota bacterium
Lineage: Bacteria; Pseudomonadati; Planctomycetota
Also listed under: 1 other name
Description: 6S RNA
Rfam family: 6S / SsrS RNA
About the family: E. coli 6S RNA was the first non coding RNA to be sequenced, but its function was unknown until recently. It consists of 184 nucleotides that fold into an extended hairpin structure with a large single-stranded internal bulge.
Source: RNAcentral
AAAGCUCUGCCAUGUGCGUGUUUGAAAGUAGAAUAUUUUUAGAACCGAUACCUUUAAACCCGAGGGCCCUUCUUUGUUAGUGGUGCACAUGCUGCCAAUCCGCCUUAGGCGAACUGGAAGAAGUGCUGAAGCUAUCAUAGGGCACCUAACUUAAAAUGCGGGUUCAAAAAUAUACUUUCUCACGGCAUUGCGGUGGAGCUUUA